Molecule: ribosomal RNA, 269 nt
Filed under: uncultured prokaryote
Description: partial 16S ribosomal RNA
Rfam family: Bacterial small subunit ribosomal RNA
Source: RNAcentral
CACGAAGGGAGCGAACGUUGUUCGGAAUCACUGGGCAUAAAGAGCUCGUAGGAGGCUUGGAAAGUCAGGUGUGAAAUCCCUCGGCUCAACCGAGGAACUGCAUCUGAAACUUCUUUGCUUGAGUGUAAGAGGGGAGAGUGGAACUCUUGGUGGAGCGGUGAAAUGCGUUGAUAUCAAGGGGAACGCCGGUGGCGAAAGCGACUCUCUGGCUUACUACUGACUCUGAGGAGCGAAAGCUAGGGGAGCGAACGGGAUUAGAUACCCCUGUA